Molecule: long non-coding RNA, 527 nt
Organism: Astyanax mexicanus (Mexican tetra)
Lineage: Eukaryota; Metazoa; Chordata; Actinopteri; Characiformes; Acestrorhamphidae
Exons: 3
Source: RefSeq, a predicted model, not a curated record
UUCGGGAUCUGUGUUUUUUUUAAAGGUUUUGAGGAGAGAUUUCCUUCGAGUUUUAGUCUUUGUUUUUAGUUUAAUGACCCUUUGGUAAUACAGAGUUCGGUUUGAUGACACAUUCGGGAUCUGUGUUUUUUUUAAGGUUUUGAGGAGAGAUUUCCUUCGAUUUUUAGUCUUUGUUUUUAAUGACCCUUUGGUAAUACAGAGUUCGGUUUGAUGACACAUUCGGGAUCUGUGUUUUUUUUUUAAGGUUUUGAGGAGAGAUUUCCUUCGAGUUUUAGUCUUUGUUUUUAGUUUAAUGACCCUUUGGUAAUACAGAGUUCGGUUUGAUGACACAUUCGGGAUCUGUGUUUUUUUUAAGGUUUUGAGGAGAGAUUUCCUUCGAUUUUUAGUUAUGUUUAGGGUUAGGUUAAGAUUUAGGUUAUGUUUAGGGCUAGGUUUAGAUUUAGGUUAUGUUUAGGGUUAGGGUUAGGGUUAGGGUUAGGUUUAGGGUUAGGUUUUAGGUUUAGGUUAUGUUUAGGGCUAGGUUUAGA